RNAcentral lists this ribosomal RNA (568 nucleotides) under uncultured fungus. RNAcentral describes it as "eukaryotic LSU rRNA". The stretch from base 191 to 347 matches the Rfam family "5.8S ribosomal RNA". The record is from RNAcentral. Lineage: Eukaryota; Fungi.
AAGUCGUAACAAGGUCUCCGUUUGGUGAACCAGCGGAGGGGAUCAUUACUGGAGUACUACACUCUCUAACCCUUUGUGAACUAUUAUACCUGUUGCUUCGGCGGCGCCCGCAAGGGGUGCCCGCCGGUCUCAUCAGAAUCUCUGUUUUCGAACCCGACGAUACUUCUGAGUGUUCUUAGCGAACUGUCAAAACUUUUAACAACGGAUCUCUUGGCUCCAGCAUCGAUGAAGAACGCAGUGAAAACGCGAUAUGUAAUGUGAAUUGCAGAAUUCAGUGAAUCAUCGAAUCUUUGAACGCACCAUGGCGCCUUCCAGUAAUCCUGGGAGGCAUGCCUGUCCGAGCGUCGUUUUCAACCCUCGAGCCCCUGUGGCCCCGGCGUUGGGGAAUCUGCCACGGCAGGCCCCUAAAACCAGUGGCGGACCCGAAGGGCCCUCCUCCUUUUGCGCAGUAAGCAUUCGCCUCGCAUCGGGGAGUCCUCGGCGUCCUGCCUCUAAAACCCCCCACAAGGCCCGCUUCGGCGGCACCAAGGUUGACCUCGGAUCAGGUAGGAAUACCCGCUGAACUUAA